AGCGAACGCUGGCGGCAGGCUUAACACAUGCAAGUCGAGCGGGCACUUUCGGGUGUCAGCGGCGGACGGGUGAGUAACGCGUGGGAACGUGCCCUCUGGUUCGGAAUAACUCAGGGAAACUUGAGCUAAUACCGGAUACGCCCUUUUGGGGAAAGGCUUGCUGCCGGAGGAUCGGCCCGCGUCUGAUUAGCUAGUUGGUGAGGUAACGGCUCACCAAGGCGACGAUCUGUAGCUGGUCUGAGAGGAUGAUCAGCCACACUGGGACUGAGACACGGCCCAGACUCCUACGGGAGGCAGCAGUGGGGAAUAUUGGACAAUGGGCGCAAGCCUGAUCCAGCCAUGCCGCGUGAGUGAUGAAGGCCUUAGGGUUGUAAAGCUCUUUUAUCCGGGACGAUAAUGACGGUACCGGAGGAAUAAGCCCCGGCUAACUUCGUG
This 435-nucleotide ribosomal RNA is filed under the name uncultured bacterium. RNAcentral describes it as "partial 16S ribosomal RNA". It matches the Rfam family "Bacterial small subunit ribosomal RNA", at positions 29 to 507 of the family's 1533-position model. The record is from RNAcentral.